This 491-nucleotide ribosomal RNA is filed under the name uncultured bacterium. RNAcentral's name for it is "partial 16S ribosomal RNA". It matches the Rfam family "Bacterial small subunit ribosomal RNA", at positions 29 to 507 of the family's 1533-position model. The record is from RNAcentral.
AGUGAACGCUGGCGGUAGGCCUAACACAUGCAAGUCGAACGGCAGCACAGUAAGAGCUUGUUCUUACGGGUGGCGAGUGGCGGACGGGUGAGGAAUACAUCGGAAUCUACUUUUUCGUGGGGGAUAACGUAGGGAAACUUACGCUAAUACCGCAUACGACCUACGGGUGAAAGCAGGGGAUCUUCGGACCUUGCGCGAUUGAAUGAGCCGAUGUCGGAUUAGCUAGUUGGCGGGGUAAAGGCCCACCAAGGCGACGAUCCGUAGCUGGUCUGAGAGGAUGAUCACCCCCCCUGAACCUGGGACCCGUUCCAGCCUCCUACGGAGGGCAGCGGGGGGGAAUAUUGGCCAAUGGGCGCAAGCCUGAUCCAGCCAUCCCGCGUGGGGAAGAAGGCCUUCGGGUUGUAAAGCCCUUUUGUUGGGAAAGAAAAGCAGCAGGUUAAUACCCCGCUGUUCUGACGGUACCCAAAGAAUAAGCACCGGCUAACUUCGUG